AAAGUUGUAAUAAGGUUUCUGUAGGUGAACCUGCGGAAGGAUUAUUAUUGUGGGGCUCUGGCCCUGUUGAGAUAGCACCCUUGCCUUUAUAGUACUGCCUGUUUUCUUGGCAGGCUUGCCUGCUAAUGGGGACAGCAAAACACCCUGAUACCACCUGUAACUGUCUAAUAAAACAAACAAAAAUUAAAACUUUUAACAACGGAUCUCUUGGUUCUA
Molecule: unclassified non-coding RNA, 216 nt
Filed under: Ascomycota sp.
Lineage: Eukaryota; Fungi; Ascomycota
Description: partial contains small subunit ribosomal RNA, internal transcribed spacer 1, and 5.8S ribosomal RNA
Rfam family: Eukaryotic small subunit ribosomal RNA (bases 1-47)
Source: RNAcentral